CAGGCAUUUCAGCUUGCAGCUGCUGUACGGCGCUCCUGGAGUGUAAAAGAAUAUUGUUUUACUCUGAAAGAUUGGUAUCUGACAUAAAGGUGGAAAACCCUCCCCAUGGAAAGAAGUGCGUCCAAAAUUUAAGGAGAAAGAAAGAUGGGUUUGGAAUGACAUGAGGUGGCCUCUAUAGAGAAAACACAGGGUUAUGAAGAAACCGUAGGAGGAACAAUGGCUCGAAAAAGGACACCCGUCCUCCUCUGCUCGACUUGGAACUCAAUUUGUCCUCCCGCACAGUUUUGGCAAGAAAAAGCCAUCUGAAGGCAUAAAUAUACAUUGAGCAUCAGUCUGUGGUUUAUGGCAGAGAACCUACGCAACAAACAACAAACGUCUACGUAUUACAGCAAAAGCCUACGCUAAAAGGAAAUCGCACACUUAUACGUAGAUAUGUUUAUUUGUGUUGCCAUUGUGGGCCGCUCUCACGCUGAACUACAGGCCUGAGAGGAAGUUUCCAGUGCGGUUACCAUGACGAGGGUCUUGGAGUACAGGAAGUUCAGUGCUAAGAGAAAUGACAUCCGAGAGGGACGCAGACAAACAUUUGUCCAGAUGAACUGGGGUAACAGGAUUGUGUUUGGACAGGAGCUUCUCUCCGCAGGGAACAAGGAUCAGACCUGAGGUGAUUCCCUGUGUUUUUGGAGGGCUUUGGUUUAAAGAUGAGCUUUUGAAACACUCUGGAAUCCUUGUCAGGACGUUUUCUUGCUUCCUACUGAACAGCCUCAGGACACAAGCUUAACAUGCACUGACGUGUGUGUUCAACCCUCCUACAGAUGUUGCAACUUUUGUUCUUAGUGUUCAUAAUAUUAAGUGUGUGAAAUUUAAUGGUUGACGAU
Long non-coding RNA from Cyprinus carpio carpio, 875 nucleotides. Lineage: Eukaryota; Metazoa; Chordata; Actinopteri; Cypriniformes; Cyprinidae. The record is from Ensembl.